Long non-coding RNA from Planococcus citri (citrus mealybug), 495 nucleotides. RefSeq lists it as uncharacterized. NCBI's taxonomy places the organism in Eukaryota, Metazoa, Arthropoda, Insecta, Hemiptera, Pseudococcidae. The transcript has 3 exons. The record is from RefSeq and is a predicted model, not a curated record.
CCUCACACUUUUAAAUAGAUCAUUGUUGUUUUCAAAAAUGUGCAGGAAGUUGAUAAAUUGUAAACGCUUUUCUUUUAUUUUUCGAUUAGCCUAUACCUGUAGGCGUGGCGGUUUCGGAGAAAGAGGAACGAGAGCUCACCCAGCGUCCAAAAUUUCCGCUUCGAAUGGACUUAUGACGAAUUCCUGGAGGAGCAGGAGGAGGAGCAGGAAAUCGAGGACGGCGAGGACGAGGAGGACGAUUACUAGGAUGAUGAAUAUUAUGAUGAAGUACGCGAAUCAGUGUGGCAAGAAGAAUAAGAACAAAGCGAAUUCGAGCAGCAAAACGAAGCGCAGCGAAACCAAGGUGACGAGCAGCAAACAUAGUUCGAAGCAUAUGUGACAGCUGACCAUAGUUCGAGUUAUAUUCGAGGUGCUUUCGAAGGAGUUGAUGAAUUCAAGAACGGUUGUAAGUAAUAAAAAAAAACGUCAUAUUGGAAACCGUUGCCGAGGACUUGG